CUGAAUGAACGCUAUCUCAAGUGCUUGACACAUGCUAAUCUUACGUCUAAUUUAAAUAUUAACCAAAACCAAUGGAUAAAUUAUCUAAUUUACACCUGGGUAAUAUAUUUAUAGUGGGGGUUUUUUUAUUAGAAGUGGUGUACAGGUGAGUAAAUGAUAUUUUGGCUACCUUAAAGUGAGGUUUAAAAAUGCCUUGAGGAAAAAAAUUCCGCUUUAAGAGGACAAUGAAUAUUUCGGAUAGGUAGUCGAUAAAGUAAUUUUUUUAUCGAGCUUAUAAUUCCGUAAUCGUAACUGAGAGGUUGAUCGAUCACAUUGGGUCUGAAAAAAGCCCAAUACGUAUAGUACAGCAGUGGGGAAUAUUGGUCAAUAGCCGUCAGGCUGAACCAGCAACUUGGGAGUAUGUAUAGCUUUUAACUAAGCUAAUAUCACGUACUAAUGGUGUGUAUAAACCAUUUAUACGGUAGAGAGAAAUAACUCUACAAGACCAUAAGAAGGUGGGCUGGCCCAGCAAUGGGUAGGUGCCAACUCGAUACCCGUAAGGGGGACGGGGGUAAAUCGACGAGUACGUGAGGACCCGGCUAAGCGGAAAACAUCUUUUUCUAGGCGUAAGGGGAAUUAUAUUUUUCGAGUCGUCUUCUUAAGAGGGUGUUUAAACAAUUUAAUAUAGUCGUUGCCUACAAACACUAAUAUAAAUUGGAAUAAACUUUACUUUGAUAUAUCGAUUUACUCGAAUAAAAUACUAGGUAGUAAAAUAUCUUAAUGUAAAGGGUUAAGAUUUCUCUAAUAUAGGAAUUACGAAUUGAUUAUGACCUUAAGCUAUCUACAAGUCUUGACCAAAAUACGUGCCAGCAGUCGCGGUAAUACGUAAAAGACUAGUGUUAUUCAUCUUUACCAGGUUUAAAGGGUACCUAGACGGUAAAAAUCGUCGUAAAGAUACGAUUAUACUAGAGUUAUAUAUAAGGAGGUGAGUAUUUAUGGAGUGUGAGAGUUGAAAUUUGUUCAUACCAUAAGGACUGGUAAAGGCGAAAGCUAACCUUUUAUACUAAUAACUGACGUUGAGGGACGAAGGCUCGGGUCGCGAACAGGAUUAGACACCCUAGUAGUCCAAGCAGAAAAUUAUGAAUGCUAUAGGUUAGAAAAUUUAGUCUAUAAAUUAAAAUGUAAGCAUUCCACCUCAAGAGUAAUGCGGCAACGCAGGAACUGAAACCAUUAGACCGUUUACUGAAACCAGUAGUGAAGUAUGUUAUUUAAUUCGUAGGUACGCGAAAAACCUUACCACAACUUGAAUAUUAUCCUGUGCAGGAUAUUACAGGCGUUGCACGGCUGUCUUCAGUUAAUGUCGUGAGAUGGCGGUUAACUCCUUUAAAUUAACGGAAACCCUUGCUUUAAUUAUUAAUUUUGAAAUAAAGCAGUUCACCAUCUAAAUCGGAUAUGAUCACAGGGGCCAAGACAAGUCAUCAUGGCCCAAAUGGUGUGGGCGAUAGACGUGCCACAUAUUCCUAUACAAAAUGAUGCGAUAAUGCG
Molecule: ribosomal RNA, 1524 nt
Filed under: Blumeria hordei DH14
Lineage: Eukaryota; Fungi; Ascomycota; Leotiomycetes; Helotiales; Erysiphaceae
Description: Blumeria graminis f. sp. hordei DH14 Bacterial small subunit ribosomal RNA
Rfam family: Bacterial small subunit ribosomal RNA
Source: Rfam by way of RNAcentral